RNAcentral lists this ribosomal RNA (519 nucleotides) under uncultured bacterium. RNAcentral describes it as "bacterial SSU rRNA". It matches the Rfam family "Bacterial small subunit ribosomal RNA", at positions 772 to 1294 of the family's 1533-position model. The record is from RNAcentral.
ACUAAAUAGAUACCCAGGUAGUCCACGCCCUAAACGAUGUCUACUAGUUGUCGGGUCUUAAUUGACUUGGUAAACGCAGCUAAACGCGUGAAGUAGACCGCCUGGGGAGUACGGUCGCAAGAUUAAAACUCAAAGGAAUUGACGGGGACCCGCACAAGCGGUGGAUGAUGUGGAUUAAUUCGAUGCAACGCGAAAAACCUUACCUACCCUUGACAUGGAUGGAAUCCCUGAGAGAUUGGGGAGUGCUCGAAAGAGAACCAUUACACAGGUGCUGCAUGGCUGUCGUCAGCUCGUGUCGUGAGAUGUUGGGUUAAGUCCCGCAACGAGCGCAACCCUUGUCAUUAGUUGCUACGAAAGGGCACUCUAAUGAGACUGCCGGUGACAAACCGGAGGAAGGUGGGGAUGACGUCAAGUCCUCAUGGCCCUUAUGGGUAGGGCUUCACACGUCAUACAAUGGUACAUACAGAGGGCCGCCAACCCGGCGAGGGGUAGCUAAUCCCAGAAAGUGUAUCGUAGUCC